This 3626-nucleotide long non-coding RNA is filed under the name Mytilus galloprovincialis (Mediterranean mussel). The record is from RNAcentral. Lineage: Eukaryota; Metazoa; Mollusca; Bivalvia; Mytilida; Mytilidae.
GUUUCAAAAAUACUUUACUAAACUUUUGAGUUGCUGUGGGCCAGUUUCCAGGAAUUACUUUGUAAGAUUCAUCAUGCAUUUAAUGUAAGCAUAAGAUAUGAAAUAAACAAUGGUGGACAUCAUCUUUUAAACCAACUAACAUUUUGUUAAAGAUUUUUUGAACCACAGUUAAUGAAAAAAAACACUUGUAAUUUGGAGGUUUAUUGUGUACAUUGUUUAUGUGGCAUGUAUAUGUCAUGUACAAGUUGUUAUUUUGUACAGGUUAUUACUUGUACAAAAAUUUUAUACAAGUAAUUACUUGUAUGAAGUCAUCAUACAGGUUAUUUCUUGUACAAAUACAAUUGUACAAGUAAUUACUAGGACAAUUGUACUCAGAAAAAGAUAAUACCUUGUACAAAUCAUUAUUCUACUAUGACAUAUUUGAUUUUAACAUGAAAUCAUUUCACUUUAAAGAAAUAAUUUAUUACUUAGCCUUAGGCUGUUGAACUGUUACGCCACUCUCCCAGGUUAGCAAAGUAAGAUCUACAAAUAAAUCAACAUGACCAGAAUGGUCAAUUGACCCCUUAAGGAGUUAUUGUCCUUUAUAGUAAAAGUUGUAAUCUUACAAAAAUCUCCUCCUCUGAAACUACUGAGACAAAUUUAGCCAAACUUGGUCACAAUCAUUAUUAGGAUACUUUUAAAAAAAAUAUGUUCGAUGAAAGCACCUGCCAACCAACAUGGCAGACAUAGCUAAAAAUAGAACAUAGUCAUAAAAUGCAGUUUUUGACUAAUAUCUCUGAAACUUAAGCAUUUACAGCAAUUUUGACAUUGAUAAAAAUGUUUAUCAGGUUAGAUAUAUUUGUCCUGAAAUUUUCAGACAAAUCAGACAAACUGUUUUAGGUUGCUGUUCCUGAAUUAGUAUUAGUUAUUAUUUUGAAUAUUAUUAUAGAUAGAGAUAAUUUGUAAACAGCAAUAAUGUUCAGCAAGGUAAAUUCUACAAAUAAGUCAACAUGACCAAAAUGAUCAAUUGACCCCAUAAGGAGUUAUUUCCCUUUAAAGUCAAAUUUAAUAAUUUUUCGUUAAUUUUUGUAAAUUUUUACAAAAGUCUUCUCCUGAAAUAACUGAGACAAAUUUAACCAAAGUUGGCCACAAAUAAGCAGAAGGGCAUUUAGAUUUUAAAAAUGUGUUCGACAUAGCUAAAAAUAGAACAUAGGGGAAAAUUCAGUUUUUGACUUGUAUCUCUGAAACUAGAGCAAAGGUAUAACGGUUGCAUUCUGGAGAGAGCGGGAGUGGAUCGUAACCCUUGGCUAGCGAAGAUGUAUUUUAUGCAUCAAUUGUAAAUAAAAAUAUCAUGUGAGCGACCCAGGCUCCUUGGAGCCUCUAGUUAAUAAUUAUCAAGAUGUUUGAUUUCUUGAUUGACAACUAAUUUAUUACUUUGGGUGGACGUGUUUUUCAAUAAACUAUAAGUAUUUCAAUAGUGAAACAAACUGUGACCAUUUUCCUGCCUACUUGUUACUUUAUUCUUCUGAGGCUGACUUCUUAAGGGAACUUCUUAAGAAGAAAGAAAAGAAGUUAGCAGUAUCCUGUAACUUUACUUUCUGCUAUAUAGAUGAUGUUCUCUCACUAAAUAAUUGAAGUUAACAUCAGGAAAGCAGAACAAUUGCAAUUGCAAAUGGUGGCCAUGGCCAUGUCGGGGUGGCUGUAAAACAGGCAAAUGUAUAUCUGUUUGGCUAAAUUUGCCCAAGGUGUCAUGUUAGCUUAUGUUAUUAUUGCAUUCGUAUGAAAUCUUCUAACAUUUCAAAAUCAACACAAACACUUGAAAGAAAAAAAAAACUAUAUAAAAUUUCAAAAUACAUACACUGAGUGAUAUCUACUAAGAAAAAAUAAACAAACAUGAAAUAAAAACCGUGACAAAUGACAAAAAUAUCCCAAACUAACAAAGCCAAAAAAAGGAGUGUUUGAAUAAAACAUUUGAAACAGAAGAAGUUACAAAUACAACUCAAAGAUAGUGAGUUGUACAAGUUAUUAUCUUUUUCUUCACAAAAAUUGUACAAGUAAUUACUUGUAUAGUUAUAUUUGUACAUGUUAUAACUUGUAUGGUGGCAUCAUACAAGUUAUUACUUGUACAAAGUAUUUGUACAAGUUAUAACCGGUACAAAAUAAUGAUAUACACAAGACAUAUAUAUAUAUAUAUAUUUAUUUAGUGAAUGAUAAAUGUUAGAUUUCAAUAUUAUUUAUAAUGAGGUUCAUGGUUAUCACUAAUCAAGCCACAUUUCAAGAAAAUGACACCCAUGAAGCAAUUUCCAUUUACAGUAUGAAAUAGCCACUACAAGCUUUGAGGAGAGAAUUAUCCUGUAACAAUGGAUAACCACUACCCUUUAGUUUAAUGAUUUAUCCUAAGUAUUCCAGAAAGAGUGCAAUAACGGACAGCAUCUUCCAGAAACAUUAAUUUUAAACAAAUUACUGAAUAUUUUGCAGACCAUGAAUGAGAGAAAAUACUUAUUUAAUUUUCUUAUCUUCCUUAAACAUCCUCUUAAGUCAGGAGCCUGUAAUUUAGUGGUUGUCGUUUGUUUUAUGUCUUACAUAUUUGUUUUUUCAUUUUUUUAUAUAAAUAAGGCCAUUAGUUUUCUUGUUUGAAUUGUUUUACAUUGUCUUAUCAGGGUCUUUUAUAGCUGACUAUGCGGUAUGGGCUUUGCUCAUUGUUGAAGGCUGUACGGUGACCUAUAGUUGUGAAUGUAUGUGUCAUGUUGGUCUCUUGUGGACAGUUGUCUCAUUGGCAAUCAUACCAUAUCUUCUUUUUUAUAUCUCCAUAGUGAAAUUAUCUCCCUUAAACAUGUAACAUCCUCUCCAUUGUAAAAUUAUCUCCCUUAAACAUUAAAAUCCUCUCCAUAGUGAAAUUAUCUCCCUUAAACAUCUAACAUUCUCUCCAUUGUGAAAUUAUCUCUCUAAAACAUCUUAAAUCCUCUCCAUAGUGAAAUUAUCUCCCCUUAACAUCUAACAUUCUCUCCAUUGUGCAAUUAUCUCCCUAAAACAUUUUAAAUCCUCUCCAUAGUGAAAUUAUCUCCCCUAAACAUCUAACAUUCUCUCCAUAGUGAAAUUAUCUCCCUUAAACAUCUAACAUUCUUUCCAUAGUGAAGUUAUCUCUUCUGUACUGAUAGGAUUUAAUUUCAAAUUUUGAGAAACUCCGUUAAAAAGUAUUUUUAUGUUAUCCACAAUAAAAGAAGUUAGCUUCUUUUGGUGGCCUAAUUUUAUAUUUUUUUGGGACUGCCUUACAUGAUUCACAAUAACAAAAGUGACUUCUCUUGAAUUAUUGAUAUUAUUUUUUUCAGACUGUGUUUUAUUUUAGGCAACAACAAUAUUAAUAUAAGUAACUUCUUUAAUCUACUUAUAUUAUAUUUUUCAGUUUAUAUAUAUGCACCUGUUUUUCUAACAAUUAAAGGUAAUUUCCAUUUAAUGAUUUUAUUUUCAGACCAUGAAUUUGAAUCCACAUUAACUGCAGUUACCUCCCUUUAAUAAUUUGAUAUUUUUCAGACUGUGUAUACCAAUGUGUUUUAUACUAGCUACAAUAAUGGGAGGAAUCUCUUUAUUUACCACAGCAAUGAUUUAUUUAGUGGUAGGUGAUCAACUACAAUGUAUUUAAUGUCAGA